UGUCACUGAAGUACAGAAAGACACAAACUUUCACUGUGGUGUUUCAUACUAAACAACACAGACAGUUUCUUCUUAUCUUCAAGAUGGUGUCAAUGCAAUUAAGUCUGUUUUCAACUUUGUUUCUGAUCACACUAACAGGUGUCAGCUGUCAAGAACUCACUCCAGUCAACAAUGAAGAGAACAGUUUAGAAGGCAGCACUGUUACUCUGUCCUACAACUACUCCAAAAAAGCUGAUGGCAAUGAUAAUUUCUUCUGGUAUCGACAAUAUCCAGGAAAACCACCAGAGUUCCUCAUGUACAUCUCAGGGCUAAAUCAAACGAGACCAGCAGAUUCUCUGAAGUCAGAAACAAGAUUCUUUACUGAUCUGUUUGAAGACAAGCGUGGAGUCAAACUGCAGAUCUCCUCUGCUGCAGUGUCUGACUCUGCUGUGUACUACUGUGCUCUGCAGCCCACAGUGACA
Thunnus maccoyii (southern bluefin tuna) is the source of this 461-nucleotide non-coding RNA. The record is from the annotation of a RefSeq genome assembly. NCBI's taxonomy places the organism in Eukaryota, Metazoa, Chordata, Actinopteri, Scombriformes, Scombridae.